UUUAACAUGAAAAUUAAAUCACUUUUUUAUUAAUUUCAACAAAGAAUAUUCAUAACAAAAUUUUUUGGAAAACCAAUUACGUCAAGGAAAUUUAUGCCACAUGUUUAAACUGCAAAUCCACUGAACUGCAGUCAUUAAAGAAUUAGAUUGUGUCGUGAAAACUGGCAUGGGGUUGUGAGAUCUUUCCAGGUACACGCAGAAACCAGAGGAUAAAGACCUGAGGGAAAUAAGUAAUCUAUGAAUUGAUUUAAGUAUAAUUAUAAAUGAAUAUAUAUGUGCACAUAUAAACACUGAAUGAUUUUCUGACAUAUACUCUUGUAUUUUAAUCUGUAAGGCUGAUAAAAACAUGAUGAUUAUGGUUGAUAAUUAUGUAUGAGAUUAACAUCCAUGAUUGAUAAGUAAUAAUGGAUUAUAGGGAUGUGUUGAUUUAAAUGUGUUGACCCAAACAUAUGAUGAAUGUAAAAGAUGAUUAAAUGUAAUGAUCUAAACAGAUGGAAUUAAAGUGAUGGGUGAGGCCCUAUUCUCAGGCUGUGUCAUAAUGGGCGAGCUGAGCAGAAGCAGAGACUCAAGGGACUUGCAAGGAAGUACAAACAGAUGGCCCUACAGAAAAGGGGAAGUUCACAUGAGGUUAGCGCUGUGAGUCAUACAAGGGCUGAUGGUUGGGAAAGGGUGGGACUUUCCACCGACUCAUCGAACAUGCGAGAAGUCACGUACACCGUCUCCCCCAUACACAACCAUGGGCUGAGAUGGUAUAAAAGACGGCAGAAGGAGGAAGAGAGCGUUCUUAGUCCCCGGUGCCAAGACGACUCAACAAGAGGACGCAGAGGAAACAUCAGCAGAGGACCGCACCCUGGAGCCACGGGGAAAUUGAGACUUCGCACCGCUAAGAAGGGACAAGAUCCUUCAGCCCCAGCCCUGGCUCCUGAUUCCACCGCCGACUCUGCCUCAACCCAACGAUCUCAAACCAACCGCAACAGACUUGGAGAAAAGACAAAGAUCCCAGGAGGGAUGAAGAAUUGGAUGUUUGAAGGACAAGGACCAAUUCUGCUUUGCUUCUAUUCUAAAGAGGAUUUUUCCACACAAAGACAAAGAUUCUGAACCAAGGAAUUAAAGACUUUUGUUGCCAAGAUCAACUGCCAUCUGGGUAUGAGUCGAAUUGCUCCCCAAAAGCCUCUCUCAGUUUAUUAGUGACACAGGUCAGGGAAGGAAGUUAGGAUAAUGUGGUUGGGUUAUUUUGAUUUAGUAUUGUAAUUUUUGAUAAUUAAUCUGUAUGUCACUUGCUGCUUAAUAAAUAUAUCUUUAUAAAAUUUUA
This is a long non-coding RNA of Xiphophorus couchianus (Monterrey platyfish), 1312 nucleotides long. RefSeq lists it as uncharacterized. Lineage: Eukaryota; Metazoa; Chordata; Actinopteri; Cyprinodontiformes; Poeciliidae. The record is from RefSeq and is a predicted model, not a curated record. The transcript is spliced from 2 exons.